UACAGAGGGUGCAAGCGUUAAUCGGAAUUACUGGGCGUAAAGCGCACGUAGGUGGCUGGGUAAGUUGGAUGUGAAAUCCCCCGGGCUUAACUUGGGAAUUGCAUUCAAGACUGCCUUGCUAGAGUGUGGAAGAGGGAAGCGGAAUUCCAGGUGUAGCGGUGAAAUGCGUAGAUAUCUGGAGGAACAUCAGUGGCGAAGGCGGCUUCCUGGUCCAACACUGACACUGAGGUGCGAAAGCGUGGGGAGCAAACAGG
Molecule: ribosomal RNA, 254 nt
Filed under: uncultured bacterium
Lineage: Bacteria
Description: partial 16S ribosomal RNA
Rfam family: Bacterial small subunit ribosomal RNA
Source: RNAcentral